CAAUAAACUCAGGUCCAGGAUGCGUAUCAAGAUUAUAGAUUGCAUACACCGUUCUUGGCCUUUUGUUAAACAAGUUGUUUUUGGAAUAUGUGACUGAACCAAACAACUGGAGUAUGUGACCCCUUGAAGGCUAUAGAGAAAGCCAUAGUUAGCUCUGAUCUAUGUAUGACUCCGAAUAAUGAUGGAUAAUUGAUACGAUUGAGCAUCCCUCAGUUGACAUCUGAUAGGAGGAAGGAACUAACGAAGGUAGUGGCUAAACAAGCUGAAGAAGGGAAGGUACAUUUGCUAAGUUUUUUACACUUGAGAUAGUGGACUUUCUGUUGUUUCUUACUAAUUUAAGGGGUUUACUUCUCCUUGCUGUUGUUCAUAGGAACUCACAGUUUCCUCCAUUUUAUCUCUACAAGUUCAUAGGCACUCUACAAGUUCAGUUGUAUCACUGGGUAGCCAAAUUUGUUUUUCACCAAAUUUUGUCUUCAUCAAGUGUAAAACACUUGUCCCCAACGGAAAAAGCCAUGAACUAAAAGAAUAUAUAGAAAAACAAGUAUAUAAUACUAAUUCAUCAAAUUGGCUAUAAUUAUUUAUAUCGGUUCUCAUUCUAAAAUCAUUUUACGAGUUCAAUCAAGUGGGAUGUUUGGCAAGAAUUUAAUUAAAGUAUUAAAUCGAAUCAGGGUCUCUUAGUUUGUUACACCACUCCACUUUUGCAUAUUACCUAGUCUUCUUUGGUAAUCAUAGUGUCAUCCACUUGCAAAACUUCCCAAGUGGAACUUUGAUGGGUCUAGCACAGGGCAAGCUCCAGGGGAAGACACUGAAGUCAUCCUAUAGUAUGAUGCCCUUCUUGCUCUUAUUUGUUUUCUUAAUUUUACAAAUAAACUGAUAACUGGAGUUUCCUUUUUGUUUGGCGCAUUAUGAAAAAUUAAAAAACCAAAAGCCCACAGGCUAUUUUCAGGGACCCAUUUAGGAGAGGCAGAAAUAUUCUUGUAAGUUUUUUCAUUAUGAUUAACUGGCUUCUAAUUAAGCAAGCAUUUAUUAAUGAGUCAUCAAAAUCCACUAUUGUGGUUCAGCAAUUCAUUUUAUAGUAAAAAUCUAUAGGUGAUAUGCGAUACUUACACCCCUGUUGUGCUCAUUCUGUAAUUUUUUUUUUGUAAGUAAAGAUUUUCAAAACAAAACCUUGCAAGGAAGAUCUGUUAACUGAGUUUUCUUCCUUUAAGCUUUAGGAGAAAGAGACAUCUCGAACAAGUUUAGUGGAAAGUGAGUAAUAUUAAAUUUUCUUCUGUUUUGGCUUCAUUUGUUAGUUAUUGGUGAGUAAAACAUGUACUCACUCUGCCCACUUUUUUUUUAAUUUUUUUUUCUCUCUUCCCCAUAUCUUUUUUCAUUUGGAUUUGUGUGGGGAAGUGUUAUUUUUGUUUUUGGAAUUCUGCAAAAGGAAUUUCCAAUUAUAUUGAUCUGGGAUCUUUUUUGGCUUUCGUUUUCUGGGGCUAAGUUUUGAUCAUGAUUUUUGUCUCCUCUACUAUCUUUUUUAUGUAUUUCAUAUCCACAAGUAUUUAGACACUGCCUUGUGUAUAACUAGGACAUGUUUUAGCAAUCAAUAACUAGGACAUGUUUUAGCAAUCAAUAACCAGGACAUGGUUAUUGGUUAUUUUGGAUUAGUAAGGCUUGUUUUUAAGGGGUGCUAUCAAAAUUGUUUUAUGAGGCUUUCCUUCUUAUUUUGAUGCUUACGAUUAUUAUUCUCUGCUUUUGCACUUCUUCCUUAAUUUUGUUUCACCUUAUCAUUUGACCAAAAAUGGUACUAGUGGUAGCAUGAAGCCUGAAACUUUUGAUAGAAGCUUUGAGGUUAUUAAACACAUAUAUCCAAUAAUAAGAAAUGUGUAAAAAAGCAUGUGGAAAUUGUACCGUAUUGAAGUGUUGUUUGUACUUCUUCUCUAUCUUCAUCUGGCUGGGUGUUGAGGAUGCUGAGUGUUUGCUUCGAGGGUGUUGAGGAUCUCCUAGGUGGUGGUGGGUCCAAGUAUGGAACGAGCAUAAAGAGUUGAUGCUGAGCUUGCCAAUGCUGAAGCCUGGUGGUACAAGCAAGAGUAUAUAAUCAACGAGCUGAACAUAAACUAGGUGAUAACAACGCCGUGUCAUGAGGAGAUCUUGCCCACCAACUCAUGGACUACGCGAAGGCCUUAUGUACUGAAAGGCUACGCAUAUUCCGAGGAAUAGUGCAAGCAGGAGAACCUUUAUUGGCUAGCAAAGUUGAAAACAAAGUUUUGAAUGACUCAGGUAACAACUUCAAAGAAGGAAGUAACACAUCCAUGCCUGAAUUUAGAAGGAGCAGGAACUACCUCUGAUGCUGGAGUUCCAUCUCACAUAGUUUUAUACAAACUUUUGAGGUCUUGAGGUUAAUUUGUGCGACCAUUCUCUUGUAUUUGAGCAUGCUUUGUAAUUUAGAACUUCGUUUAUCAAUAUAUAUUUCUU
Gastrolobium bilobum is the source of this 2454-nucleotide long non-coding RNA. RefSeq lists it as uncharacterized. The record is from RefSeq and is a predicted model, not a curated record. NCBI's taxonomy places the organism in Eukaryota, Viridiplantae, Streptophyta, Magnoliopsida, Fabales, Fabaceae. The transcript is spliced from 6 exons.